Salvelinus sp. IW2-2015 is the source of this 685-nucleotide long non-coding RNA. RefSeq lists it as uncharacterized. The transcript is spliced from 4 exons. The record is from RefSeq and is a predicted model, not a curated record. Lineage: Eukaryota; Metazoa; Chordata; Actinopteri; Salmoniformes; Salmonidae.
GCACCCAUCUACACUUCCUUAGCAUUAGCGCUCCCUACAAUAUUUCUCAACAGAGGAUCUGAACCCAAAGGUCAACGAAGAAGGCGCCGCUAAAACUUCAAGCUAGCGCUAAGCCACUAACUUUGUUUUCUGGGACUUUAGCCAGCCCAUUUAGGCAGCCUGUGAGAGCGUUAGAGGUGAGGAGAACAAAGAGAGAACCUGAUGUGUUUCUGUCGUCUCACUGUCCACCCAUAUGGCAGGUAUUGGAGGAGUCGCUCGCUGGUGUUUGUCUGCCGACAUAGAGCGUCCACCGGCAGGCACCACUUGGCAGAGGCUCUAUGGGGACGGCUACGUACAAAACCUGGUGGAUUUGUUGUUCAGCAGCAUCGUGGGAACCAUAUCAGGAGCUGUUACAGAAGGCUGAGGCAGUGGCCAGACACCAGUCCUGCAUCAGGGAGCUGGGUCAGAUAUACUGUAGAAGCUCCUUCAUGACCAGUAUCUGUGAUUAGAGGGGCAUGGAACUGGUCUAUGCUUCCAUGCCCAUCAGGCAUUGGCCAACACCUCAGAAGGGACAAAAGAUGCAGGACAGAAGAGAUGCUUUUGAAAUGGAGUCCAAUGACUGAAAUACUUCAUACUGGUUCAUACUGAUGUCUGAAUUGGGAAAGACAUUGAACUCAGCAUUAAAAUAAUACAAGACACAUCUUUA